Molecule: non-coding RNA, 408 nt
Organism: Saimiri boliviensis boliviensis (Bolivian squirrel monkey)
Lineage: Eukaryota; Metazoa; Chordata; Mammalia; Primates; Cebidae
Source: RefSeq, a predicted model, not a curated record
GCCUAAUGUAUGACCUUUCCCAGAGAACAUUCCACAUGUACUUUGAAGAAUGUGUAUUCUGCUCCUGGGCGAACUCAUCUGUGUGUGUCUGAUUCUCCAAGCUUCCACUGGAGCAACACCAUCUCCUGUCUUGGCACCUCAUGAGUCGAAUGCUGCUUCCAGAGAGGAUCUGGUUGGUAGACCGUGACCUUGAUUCCUGCCCCUGAGCCUCACUUUUUUCUCAUCAGCCACCACCUUUUUGGCACUAGGACAGUGCUUUUUAUAAUGCACUCAUCAGUGGAUGCUGAAAUCACAACCUGGUCAUUUGGAUAUUGAACUAAUGCUUUAUGCUGCGGAGUCCCUGCAGCUCACCAACCCGUGCUGGAACUCACCAGAGCUCAGAGAGAAGAUCUCACUCUCUUGCCCAGG